GUGAGUAACACGUGGGUAACCUGCCCAUCAGAAGGGGAUAACACUUGGAAACAGGUGCUAAUACCGUAUAACAAUCGAAACCGCAUGGUUUUGAUUUGAAAGGCGCUUUCGGGUGUCGCUGAUGGAUGGACCCGCGGUGCAUUAGCUAGUUGGUGAGGUAACGGCUCACCAAGGCCACGAUGCAUAGCCGACCUGAGAGGGUGAUCGGCCACAUUGGGACUGAGACACGGCCCAAACUCCUACGGGAGGCAGCAGUAGGGAAUCUUCGGCAAUGGACGAAAGUCUGACCGAGCAACGCCGCGUGAGUGAAGAAGGUUUUCGGAUCGUAAAACUCUGUUGUUAGAGAAGAACGAGGAUGAGAGUAACUGUUCAUCCCUUGACGGUAUCUAACCAGAAAGCCACGGCUAACUACGUGCCAGCAGCCGCGGUAAUACGUAUGUGGCAAGCGUUGUCCGGAUUUAUUGGGCGUAAAGCGAGCGCAGGCGGUUUCUUAAGUCUGAUGUGAAAGCCCCCGGCUCAACCGGGGAGGGUCAUUGGAAACUGGGAGACUUGAGUGCAGAAGAGGAGAGUGGAAUUCCAUGUGUAGCGGUGAAAUGCGUAGAUAUAUGGAGGAACACCAGUGGCGAAGGCGGCUCUCUGGUCUGUAACUGACGCUGAGGCUCGAAAGCGUGGGGAGCAAACAGGAUUAGAUACCCUGGUAGUCCACGCCGUAAACGAUGAGUGCUAAGUGUUGGAGGGUUUCCGCCCUUCAGUGCUGCAGCUAACGCAUUAAGCACUCCGCCUGGGGAGUACGACCGCAAGGUUGAAACUCAAAGGAAUUGACGGGGGCCCGCACAAGCGGUGGAGCAUGUGGUUUAAUUCGAAGCAACGCGAAGAACCUUACCAGGUCUUGACAUCCUUUGACCACUCUAGAGAUAGAGCUUCCCCUUCGGGGGCAAAGUGACAGGUGGUGCAUGGUUGUCGUCAGCUCGUGUCGUGAGAUGUUGGGUUAAGUCCCGCAACGAGCGCAACCCUUAUUGUUAGUUGCCAUCAUUCAGUUGGGCACUCUAGCAAGACUGCCGGUGACAAACCGGAGGAAGGUGGGGAUGACGUCAAAUCAUCAUGCCCCUUAUGACCUGGGCUACACACGUGCUACAAUGGGAAGUACAACGAGUCGCGAAGUCGCGAGGCUAAGCUAAUCUCUUAAAGCUUCUCUCAGUUCGGAUUGUAGGCUGCAACUCGCCUACAUGAAGCCGGAAUCGCUAGUAAUCGCGGAUC
Molecule: ribosomal RNA, 1257 nt
Filed under: Enterococcus durans
Lineage: Bacteria; Bacillati; Bacillota; Bacilli; Lactobacillales; Enterococcaceae
Description: bacterial SSU rRNA
Rfam family: Bacterial small subunit ribosomal RNA
Source: RNAcentral